This 494-nucleotide ribosomal RNA is filed under the name uncultured bacterium. RNAcentral describes it as "partial 16S ribosomal RNA". It matches the Rfam family "Bacterial small subunit ribosomal RNA", at positions 28 to 507 of the family's 1533-position model. The record is from RNAcentral.
GACGAACGCUGGCGGCGCGCUUAACACAUGCAAGUCGAACGGAAAGGCCUGCUUUCCCUUGUGGAUUGCGGGUACUCGAGUGGCGAACGGGUGAGUAACACGUGAGUGAUCUGCCCCCAACUUGGGUAUAAGCCUGGGAAACUGGGUCUAAUUCCCGAUAGGACUGCAGGGUGGUGCCUGUGGUGGAAAACGAUUUUCUAGUGGUUGGGGAUGAGCUCGCGGCCUAUCAGCUUGUUGGUGGGGUAAUGGCCUACCAAGGCGGCGACGGGUAGCCGGCCUGAGAGGGUGGACGGCCACAUUGGGACUGAGAUACGGCCCAGACUCCUACGGGAGGCAGCAGUGGGGAAGAUUACACAAUGGGCGGAAGCCUGAUGCAGCGACGCCGCGUGGGGGAUGACGGCCUUCGGGUUGUAAACUCCUUUCGACCGCGAGGAAGCCACCUGGUUGGAAGGGUGGUGACGGUAGUGGUAGAAGAAGCACCGGCUAACUACGUG